GAAAUUACUUGGCAGGGGAGACACCGUGAUCACGCAGGAGGUUUCUCCAGGGUGAGACUCGUCCAUUGCACUGUGGGAAAUGCCCCAAGCUUUCUGAAAAAAAAAGAUAUGCAGUAUUUUCUGUGUCCUCUCCUGGCAAGGACAAGUUUGCAGCUUUUGUGAU
Small nuclear RNA from Sphaerodactylus townsendi, 163 nucleotides. RefSeq annotates it as U1 spliceosomal RNA. The transcript has a single exon. NCBI's taxonomy places the organism in Eukaryota, Metazoa, Chordata, Lepidosauria, Squamata, Sphaerodactylidae. The record is from RefSeq and is a predicted model, not a curated record.